Molecule: ribosomal RNA, 353 nt
Filed under: uncultured bacterium
Lineage: Bacteria
Description: partial 16S ribosomal RNA
Rfam family: Bacterial small subunit ribosomal RNA
Source: RNAcentral
CCUACGGGUGGCAGCAGUGGGGGAUAUUGCUCAAUGGGGGAAACCCUGAUGCAGCAACGCCGCGUGGGUGAUGAAGUAUUUCGGUGUGUAAAGCUCUUUUAGUAGAGAAGAAAAUGACGGUACCUGCCCAAUAAGCCCUGGCUAACUACGUGCCAGCAGCCGCGGGAAUACGGAGGGGGCAAGCGUUAUCAGGAUUUACUGGGUGUAAAGGGAGCGUAGGCGGGUUUGCAAGUCAGGAGUGAAAGCCCUGGGCCUAACCAUGGAACUGCAGUGGAAACUGUGGACCUGGAGUAGAGGAGGGGUAGGCGGAAUUCUUGGUGUAGCGGUGAAAUGCGUAGAGAUCAGGAGGAACA